This 952-nucleotide long non-coding RNA is filed under the name Fukomys damarensis (Damara mole-rat). RNAcentral describes it as "lncRNA (ENSFDAG00000028531.1)". The record is from RNAcentral. Lineage: Eukaryota; Metazoa; Chordata; Mammalia; Rodentia; Bathyergidae.
CCUGCUGACCAGGUCCUCACUGGCAGGAGACUUGGAGCUUGGUCAGGUUGUGGCAAGGGACACAGACAACGAAGCGCACAAGAGAAGGCCUCCCUGGAUGCCCUGCAAACUUUUCAUGGACCUUGGCAAAGCUCUUCUUAUAUGUGAACCUUAGUCUCCCAGACUGCACCAGAAAGAAAGAGCCUGGGCCAGUUAAAGUUACUAUGUACCUAGGAGUAAUGCACCUUAACGCAAAGUCUAACAUGGGACCCUCUCCCUCAAUCCCUUGGCUUCCCUCCCAGGAGAAAGGUAGACUUAAUUACGAAUGUUAUCCAUGGUUAAGAGGAAUGGGGAACAAGGGAGAGGGAACUUCGCCUAAAAGCCAGCCUGGGAGAGAUCAUGCCAAAGCACAGACAGGUAUGCUUCAAAGACCCCAAACAAGAGGCAGCACCAAAGGCCUCCUUGGUGGGCCCAGCUCUGAAAUUUCAGGCUCUCAGGCUCUGCCAGGUGGUUGGCAUGGCCCGUGGCAGUCAAUAAGAACUUGCCCACCGGAAGAAUAUGAAGAACACGCAAGAAAAUAGCAAGGGAAAAAGAAAAGAUGAUCACUUGACUACUUCUCACAGAAAACAGGGGGACUCAGAUCAUGCAAUAAAUCAGAGGGCAGCUAAUGAGAAGAAGUCUAGGCAAGCAAGAGAAAAAUAAUGACCAGCUCUGGGAAAUGUGGGUGCUGCUGCCAACUGGUACCUCAGAAGAUCCAAGAUCAGGAUUCCUUAGAAUAAACAAGCAUUACAUGUGUUAUAAAUCAUCCUCAUAAAACUGUUUACCUGAAAUUUUGCUUUUUGGCCUUCGUGUGAUGUUUUAGAACCAUUCUUUUUUUUUUUUUUUUUGGUACCGGGGAUUGAACUCGGGUCCUUGCACUUGCAAGGCAGGCCACCGAAACACUGAGCUAAAUCCCCAGCCCCUAGAACCAUUC